This 66-nucleotide transfer RNA is filed under the name Philus pallescens. RNAcentral describes it as "tRNA-Gln". Lineage: Eukaryota; Metazoa; Arthropoda; Insecta; Coleoptera; Vesperidae. The record is from RNAcentral.
UAUAUUUUAGUAUAUGAUGUACAUGAAUUUUUGAUAUUCAAAGAAAUAGUCUGAUUCUAUUAAAUA